GGGCAGCAACCCAACAACGGGUUGUUCGAUUCAUCUGAAAAUUUCAGGGCAGAUAGAUCUUGACCUGAUGAACAAUAUUACCCCUGACAGAUUUGCUCUAAAUGCUUUGGUUUUUGAGUUAUAAGCCAAAACUGCAUUUUACCCCUAUGUUCUAUUUUUAGCCAUGGCGGCCAUCUUGGUUGGUUGGCCGGGUCACGCCACACAUUUUUUAAACUAAAUACUCCAAUGAUGAUUGUGGCCAAGUUUGGAUUAAUUUGUCCCAGUAGUUUCAGAGGAGAAGAUUUUUGUAAAAGAUAAC
RNAcentral lists this long non-coding RNA (298 nucleotides) under Mytilus galloprovincialis (Mediterranean mussel). Lineage: Eukaryota; Metazoa; Mollusca; Bivalvia; Mytilida; Mytilidae. The record is from RNAcentral.